This is a long non-coding RNA of Oreochromis aureus, 461 nucleotides long. The record is from Ensembl. Lineage: Eukaryota; Metazoa; Chordata; Actinopteri; Cichliformes; Cichlidae.
CCCUGACGGAAGCAGGCUGAACAUGUUGAAGCCAGGGUGGGAGCUGUCCUUGAUGAUGUUUGCUGCUCUGCUGAGGCAGCGGAAGGAGUAAAUGUCCAUCAGGGAGGGGAGAGGGCAGCCGAUGAUCUUUUGUGCUGUCUUGACCACACUCUGAAGCCUCGCUCUAUCCGCCUUGGUGCAGCUGCUGUACCAUACCGUGAUGCAGUAGCAGGAAGACACCUGUGCUCACUGCCGUAACACCUCAGUCUUCAGUUUGCAGCAAAACAACAUGGAUGUCAGAGCUCUCGGCAUCAGACUGUUGAUGACCUUUAUGAUUCUGCUGGGUGUUCAGGGUGAGAGAGUAGAGGCGACUCUUUUCCCUUCUGAGGACGCACCUUGGAUCCUUGCCAUUGCUUUAUUGAACGCUCUGGUGCUGUUGCUUGGAAUGUAUUUUGGCAACGAUUGCUGGUACAGAAAUAAAG